GAAGUGAGGUCGAGGGUUGUGUGAACGUUACAACUCUAAGAAACCAUGCAUAUAACAUCAACAUCUCCGAACUUUUCAAAAAGAAAGUGCGGAAAACAAAGAUCCAUAAGACGUUUAACUGUGUAAACAGAUGGCCGCGAAGUUCAAAGUGAAAGUGGGUUGUUGCUGCAGCCUCAGACCCCUCAGACUCUCAGUUAUAUUAAGCUUGUGGCAUUUAAAGACAAUGUCUGAGUGAAGAAUCUUCAAAAACUUUUCAAAUUGAGUGAGUCAAAAAUCCUGUGGUCAAGUCAAAAGGAACAAGUCUUUUCCAUUAAACAGAGGAACUCGAGGGCAUGUUCAGGCAAGAAGAGGCCAAAUGAAGAGAAUCAGUUGGCAAAAUGACAUCCAAAAGGGAAUUUUUGAUGAUGUAAGGAACUUGAGGGCUCAUAGCAGAAAAGAAGAGGCCAACUGAAGUGGAAGCCAUACACUCUUUUCUUCAAAAGAGGCUUGAAAAUUAGCCUCGUAUAAGAAGUUAUUGAGACUGUCAACACUUUGCAUCGUACUCCAUGAUCAGCUUUUAUAAGCAGAUGCUGUCCUGAUCAGAACCUGGAUACUGGGGCCUGUCUCCACCCUCGACGGUGUGAUGUCCUCGCCCUC
Molecule: long non-coding RNA, 636 nt
Organism: Hyalella azteca
Lineage: Eukaryota; Metazoa; Arthropoda; Malacostraca; Amphipoda; Hyalellidae
Exons: 4
Source: RefSeq, a predicted model, not a curated record